RNAcentral lists this ribosomal RNA (486 nucleotides) under uncultured bacterium. Its description in RNAcentral is "partial 16S ribosomal RNA". It matches the Rfam family "Bacterial small subunit ribosomal RNA", at positions 28 to 507 of the family's 1533-position model. The record is from RNAcentral.
GUUGAACGCUGGCGGCAUGCCUUACACAUGCAAGUCGAACGGCAGCACGGGUGCUUGCACCUGGGCGCGAGUGGCGAACGGGUGAGUAAUACAUCGGAACCUUUCCUGUGGUGUGGGGUAACCCGGCGAAAACCGGGUUAAUACCGCAUACGAACUACGGAUGAAAUCGUGGGGCCUUCGGACCUCGCGCUGUAGGGUUGGCCGAUGCCUGAUUAGCUAGUUGGGGGGGUAAAGGCCUACCAAGGCGCCGAUCAGUAGCUGAUCUGAGAGGACGACCGGCCACACGGGGACUGGGACAGCGACAAGACUACUACGGGAGGCAGCAGUGGGGAAUGUUGGACAAAGGUCGAAAGCCUGACACAGCAAUGCCGCGUGUGUGAAGAAGGCCUUGGGGUUGUAAAGCACGUUUGUCCGGAAAGAAACCCUUGGGCCUAAUACGGACGGGGGAUGACGGUACCGGAAGAAUAAGCACCGGCUAACUACGUG